Molecule: long non-coding RNA, 432 nt
Filed under: Cavia porcellus (domestic guinea pig)
Lineage: Eukaryota; Metazoa; Chordata; Mammalia; Rodentia; Caviidae
Description: lncRNA (ENSCPOG00000039878.1)
Source: RNAcentral
CUUUUGAAGACCUUGGAUCCCCAGAUUCCCUUGGAACUCAUAACUAUACGCAGGUGAAGACAGACACGGGUGCGAAGGAAUGAAGCACUUAACGAAAAUAACUGAGCUGUUUGCGGCUCCCCCCUGCGGUUUACUGAGUGGUCUGCCCCGGCCCGCCCCGGCUGGCUGCUCUGCGUGUGUAUUUGUAUGUGUACUGUAUGUAAAAGGCGGGGAGAGAGGAAGCGAUUGUUGUGGAUCGGGUUUGGGGGCGGUAUCGAGCCCUGUAGCCUUCGGCAGCUUGUUAGAGAAACCUGCGAUCUAAACUCAGGCAAAGAAAAGGGUUGGAGGACUGAAAGCUGCGCUUCCGUUCGUCUCCGGGGACCUAACCCCACAAACACCGGGCUGGAGGGCGAGCCCCGCCGGCGUGCUUCCUGAGGAACCCGGCCCGUUUCC